GGGUCACAGACUUCGGGCAUUUCCAACUCCCAUGGUGUGACGGGCGGUGUGUACAAGACCCGGGAACGUAUUCACCGCGACAUUCUGAUUCGCGAUUACUAGCGAUUCCAGCUUCAUGUAGUCGAGUUGCAGACUACAAUCCGAACUGAGAUGACCUUUUUGGGAUUUGCUCCUCUUCACAGCUUCGCUUCCCUUUGUAGUCACCAUUGUAGCACGUGUGUAGCCCAGAUCAUAAGGGGCAUGAUGAUUUGACGUCAUCCCCGCCUUCCUCCAGGUUAUCCCUGGCAGUCUCCCUAGGGUGCCCGGCCGAACCGCUGGCUACUAAGAAUAAGGGUUGCGCUCGUUGCGGGACUUAACCCAACAUCUCACGACACGAGCUGACGACAACCAUGCACCACCUGUCUCCCCUGUCCCGAAGGAAAGGUCCCGUUACGGACCGGUCAGGGGGAUGUCAAGACCUGGUAAGGUUCUUCGCGUUGCUUCGAAUUAAACCACAUGCUCCACCGCUUGU
RNAcentral lists this ribosomal RNA (511 nucleotides) under uncultured Clostridium sp. RNAcentral's name for it is "partial 16S ribosomal RNA". The record is from RNAcentral. Lineage: Bacteria; Bacillati; Bacillota; Clostridia; Eubacteriales; Clostridiaceae.